RNAcentral lists this ribosomal RNA (301 nucleotides) under uncultured bacterium. RNAcentral describes it as "partial 16S ribosomal RNA". It matches the Rfam family "Bacterial small subunit ribosomal RNA", at positions 509 to 807 of the family's 1533-position model. The record is from RNAcentral.
CAGUAGCCGCGGUAAUACGAAGGUCCCGAGCGUUGUUCGGAAUCACUGGGCGUAAAGGGAGCGUAGGCGGCGUGGUAAGUCAGAUGUGAAAUCCCGGGGCUCAACCCCGGAACUGCAUCCGAUACUGCCGUGCUAGAGGAUUGGAGAGGUAGCUGGAAUUCUUGGUGUAGCGGUGAAAUGCGUAGAGAUCGGGAGGAACAUCAGUGGCGAAGGCGGCCAUCUGGGACAACACUGACGCUGAGGCACGAAAGCGUGGGGAGCAAACAGGAUUAGAUACCCGCGUAGUCCCUGUCUCUUAUAC